This 49-nucleotide non-coding RNA is filed under the name Trypanosoma brucei brucei. The record is from RNAcentral. Lineage: Eukaryota; Euglenozoa; Kinetoplastea; Trypanosomatida; Trypanosomatidae.
AAUAAAUCAAUAACAAGAGAUACCGUAAAAGAGAGAAAUGAAUAUAAGU